AGUGAACGCUGGCGGUAGGCCUAACACAUGCAAGCCGAACGGCAGCACAGCAAGAGCUUGCUCUUACGGGUGGCGAGUGGCGGACGGGUGAGGAAUACAUCGGAAUCUACUUUUUCGUGGGGGAUAACGUAGGGAAACUUACGCUAAUACCGCAUACGACCUACGGGUGAAAGCAGGGGAUCUUCGGACCUUGCGCGAUUGAAUGAGCCGAUGUCGGAUUAGCUAGUUGGCGGGGUAAAGGCCCACCAAGGCGACGAUCCGUAGCUGGUCUGAGAGGAUGAUCAGCCACACUGGAACUGAGACACGGUCCAGACUCCUACGGGAGGCAGCAGUGGGGAAUAUUGGACAAUGGGCGCAAGCCUGAUCCAGCCAUACCGCGUGGGUGAAGAAGGCCUUCGGGUUGUAAAGCCCUUUUGUUGGGAAAGAAAAGCAGCAGGUUAAUACCCCGCUGUUCUGACGGUACCCAAAGAAUAAGCACCGGCUAACUUCGUG
RNAcentral lists this ribosomal RNA (492 nucleotides) under uncultured bacterium. Its description in RNAcentral is "partial 16S ribosomal RNA". It matches the Rfam family "Bacterial small subunit ribosomal RNA", at positions 29 to 507 of the family's 1533-position model. The record is from RNAcentral.